Suricata suricatta (meerkat) is the source of this 564-nucleotide non-coding RNA. The record is from the annotation of a RefSeq genome assembly. NCBI's taxonomy places the organism in Eukaryota, Metazoa, Chordata, Mammalia, Carnivora, Herpestidae.
AUAAAAGGGGCCUUUGCCAUGUAAGCUGAGCUGCGUCGGGCAGGCAGGGACAGCAAGAUGGUGUCACAGAGGCAGGUCCUCAUAUCCUUGAUGCUGUGGGUCUCAGGUGCCUGUGGGGCGAUCACGAUGACGCAGUCCCCAGGCUCCCUGGCUGUGUCUCUGGGUCAGCGUGUCACCGUGAACUGCAGGGCCAGUCAGAGUGUUAGCAGCUACCUCGCCUGGUAUCAGCAGAAACCCGGGCAGCGUCCUAAGCUGCUCAUCUACAGUGCAUCCACCCGGGCAUCUGGAGUCCCCGACCGAUUCAGCGGCAGUGGGUCUGGGACAGAUUUCACCCUCACCAUCAGCAACCUCCAGGCUGAAGACGUGGCGACUUAUUACUGUCAGCAGUAUAGUAGCUCUCCUCCCACAGUGCUGCAGCCUCAUACACAAACCUCCUCCCCAGGGCCGUGGGGCAGGGAGGCUUCGCUGCACCUGCUGCUUCCUCCCUGCUCAGCCCUGAACACGCACGUUCUGUGUCUGCCUGAGAAGCCACCUCUCCUGCCUCCUCCUUACAGGGCUGUUUAA